Molecule: ribosomal RNA, 501 nt
Filed under: uncultured bacterium
Lineage: Bacteria
Description: partial 16S ribosomal RNA
Rfam family: Bacterial small subunit ribosomal RNA
Source: RNAcentral
AUUGAACGCUGGCGGCAGGCUUAACACAUGCAAGUCGAGCGGAGAGAGGUAGGUUGCUACUGAUCUUAGCGGCGGAUGGGUGAGUAAUGCUUAGGAAUCUGCCUAUUAGUGGGGGACAACAUUUCGAAAGGAAUGCUAAUACCGCAUACGUCCUACGGGAGAAAGCAGGGGAUCUUCGGACCUUGCGCUAAUAGAUGAGCCUAAGUCGGAUUAGCUAGUUGGUGGGGUAAAGGCCUACCAAGGCGACGAUCUGUAGCGGGUCUGAGAGGAUGAUCCGCCACACUGGGACUGAGACACGGCCCAGACUCCUACGGGAGGCAGCAGUGGGGAAUAUUGGACGAGGGGCGGAAGCCUGAUCCAGCCAUGCCGCGUGUGUGAAGAAGGCCUUAUGGUUGUAAAGCACUUUAAGCGAGGAGGAGGCUACUUUAGUUAAUACCUAGAGAUAGUGGACGUUACUCGCAGAAUAAGCACCGGCUAACUCUGUGCCAGCCGCCGCCGUAA